AUACGGAAGGUCCGGGCGUUAUCCGGAUUUAUUGGGUUUAAAGGGAGCGCAGGCGGAGAUGCAAGCGUGACGUCAAAUUUCGGGGCUCAACCCCGUCUCGCGUCGCGAACUGCGUCCCUUGGUUGCGGGAAGGGGAGGCGGAACUCGUGGUGUAGCGGGUAAAUGCAUAGAUAUCACGAAGAACUCCGAUCGCGAAGGCAGCCUUCCGGCCCGUCAACGACGCUCAUGCUCGAAGGUGCGGGUAUCAAACAGGAUUAGAUACCCUGGUAGUCCGCACAGUAAACGAUGGACACCCGCGGUUUGGCCUGUAUGGCUGAGCCGCCAAGCGAAAGCGUUAAGUGUCCCACCUGGGGAGUACGCCGGCAACGGUGAAACUCAAAUGAAUUGACGGGG
Molecule: ribosomal RNA, 393 nt
Filed under: uncultured bacterium
Lineage: Bacteria
Description: partial 16S ribosomal RNA
Rfam family: Bacterial small subunit ribosomal RNA
Source: RNAcentral